RNAcentral lists this transfer RNA (72 nucleotides) under Camelus bactrianus (Bactrian camel). It matches the Rfam family "tRNA". Rfam says of the family: Transfer RNA (tRNA) molecules are approximately 80 nucleotides in length. RNAcentral also lists the same sequence under 1 other name. The record is from Rfam by way of RNAcentral. Lineage: Eukaryota; Metazoa; Chordata; Mammalia; Artiodactyla; Camelidae.
GAGGGUAUAGCUUAGUGGUGGAGUCCUUGCUUAGCAUGUACAAGGUCCUGGGUUCAAUUCCCAGUACCUCCA